GUACAGAUUCUGACUAGGUCUGCGUGAUGUUGCAGAAGUGAAGGGAACCAUGUUUGCAAAAGUGAGUUUAAUGUUGGAAAAUUUAUCACCCCUAAAAUUG
Molecule: small nucleolar RNA, 100 nt
Organism: Diceros bicornis minor
Lineage: Eukaryota; Metazoa; Chordata; Mammalia; Perissodactyla; Rhinocerotidae
Source: RefSeq, a predicted model, not a curated record